RNAcentral lists this ribosomal RNA (331 nucleotides) under uncultured bacterium. RNAcentral describes it as "bacterial SSU rRNA". It matches the Rfam family "Bacterial small subunit ribosomal RNA", at positions 568 to 898 of the family's 1533-position model. The record is from RNAcentral.
CGUGUAGGCGGUGUCGGUAAGUUGGGCGUGAAAUCCCCGAGCUUAACUCGGGUGGGCCGUUCAAGACUGCCGUGCUAGGGUGCGGGAGAGGGAAGUGGAAUUUCCGGUGUAGCGGUGAAAUGCGUAGAUAUCGGGAGGAACACCUGCGGCGAAGGCGGCUUCCUGGACCGUAACCGACGCUGAGGCGCGAAAGCUAGGGGAGCGAAACAGGAUUAGAUACCCUGGUAGUCCUAGCCCUAAACGAUGAGCACUGGGUGUGGCCCCUCACGAGGCCGUGUCCGAAGCUAACGCAUUAAGUGCUCCGCCUGGGGAGUACGGUCGCAAGGCUGAA